This 1096-nucleotide long non-coding RNA is filed under the name Brachypodium distachyon (stiff brome). Its description in RNAcentral is "long non-coding RNA (BDIS_LNC003856)". The record is from RNAcentral. Lineage: Eukaryota; Viridiplantae; Streptophyta; Magnoliopsida; Poales; Poaceae.
GCGGCGGGCUCGGGAAGUGGCGGGGACGAUGCGGCUCGUCGAGGCAGAGACGGGGAUGGGGUCGGCGAGGCUCGGGGACAGCGGCGUUGACGCCUAGGACGACGCGAAGGCGGCGGGCGACGGCGGAGCUCUAGGUUCACAUCGGCGAGGUGCUGCGGUGCGCGAAAAAGAAAAGGAAGUGCAUCAGGGGAUGCGCGAGGGAGAGGGGAGAAGAGAUAUGCGGCGAGGAUUACUCACCGAGUUCGUCGGCGGCGACCAAAAAUCGCGGCGGCGUCCGUGCGGCUCCGGCGAGCAAUUCCGACGGCGUGGUCACGCAAUAGGCUGGGGAGGCAAGGGGGAAGAAGAGGGCCUUUUCUCUUUUGAUUUUUUCCUUUUAGCCUUUUCUCUUUUUUUCUUUUUCUGUAAAUCCUUUGUAACUUUUGAUUUUGAACUCUAAAUUGGUCCAAAUAAAUUCCAAAAAAUUUGAAAAAUCAUGUUUUAUCAUGAUUCAACUUUUGGGAGUAAUUUCCCUUCAAAAUAAAAUAUAUAAAAAUACAUUUGCCCUCUAAAUGCCUUUAGGGCUAUAUAACUAUUUAAAUAAAAUAGUUUUCAACUCCAAAUAAAAUCUUAAAAAUUAUGGGAUAGCUCAUUUAUGCAAUAAACCCCAUUUAUAGAUAAACCCUAUUGGUUUUAAGAUCCAAAGCUCAAAUGGGUGAAACCCUAGGGUUUAAAAUGAAAUAAAACCUUUUUAAGGCCUUUUGAGAUUCAAAUUUGAAUUCAAAUAUGCAAUUGUGGCAUGAUGCUCAUGGAUGCAAUGCAUAUGAAAGAGUUUGAAAUUUUGGAAUGUUACAGACCUAACCCUCUUAAGAUGAAUCUCGUCCUCGAGAUUCGGUUUGGCUAGCAAAGAGGUGCGGGUGGUUUUCUCGAAGAUCAUCUUUGCGUUCCCAUGUGGCUUCCUCUUCAGUAUGGUGGUCCCACUGAACUUUGCAGAAUUUGAUGGUCUUGGAUCGGGUAUGUCUCUCAGCUAUAUCCAAGAUUCUGAUCGAUUUCUCCUCAUAGGUGAGAUCACUUUGCAGCUGGACUUCCUCUAACGGUAUCGUGUCCUUCAGUGGUGUGU